AAGAUUUUAAGUUAAAUAAACUAUUAACCUUCAAAGUUAAAUUUACUAAUCAAUACAGUAAAUCUUA
RNAcentral lists this transfer RNA (67 nucleotides) under Japanagallia spinosa. RNAcentral's name for it is "tRNA-Trp". Lineage: Eukaryota; Metazoa; Arthropoda; Insecta; Hemiptera; Cicadellidae. The record is from RNAcentral.